Amyelois transitella is the source of this 447-nucleotide long non-coding RNA. RefSeq lists it as uncharacterized. Lineage: Eukaryota; Metazoa; Arthropoda; Insecta; Lepidoptera; Pyralidae. The record is from RefSeq and is a predicted model, not a curated record. The transcript has 4 exons.
AUUAAAUAUUACGAAUUAGUUUUCAUCAAGCUGAAGACAACACUUGUGGCCACUAAGAUGUAUAACGGAAUAUUAUUAUUUGUUGCUAUUGUGUUAAUCUUUGCUCAAGUCUUCGCAAUGCCGGAAUUCACACAUGAAUUGGCAGGUAUUCCUACUAAGAUAAUCAACGAAACGAAAAACUUAUUUAAAGAUUUUGUAUGCUGAUUAUAUACACAAUGACAGCUACAUGAAAAUACGUCACCCCAACACCUAAAUGUUUUGCUUUGUCGAAGUUAAGUUUCAGAACCGUUUUGGGUUCAAACAUGCCUAGUAUUUUAUUUACAGUUAGGCAUUUAGUUUUCUCAACAACAUAAAAUAAUAAACAUUCAGAAUUCACAAAGUAAUGGUUUUUAUAAUUUAUUUCGUAUAAAUGUAUCAACUUAUCAUUCUGUUUUAUUUUACAAUUUU